This 492-nucleotide ribosomal RNA is filed under the name uncultured bacterium. Its description in RNAcentral is "partial 16S ribosomal RNA". It matches the Rfam family "Bacterial small subunit ribosomal RNA", at positions 29 to 507 of the family's 1533-position model. The record is from RNAcentral.
AGUGAACGCUGGCGGUAGGCCUAACACAUGCAAGUCGAACGGCAGCACAGUAAGAGCUUGCUCUUACGGGUGGCGAGUGGCGGACGGGUGAGGAAUACAUCGGAAUCUACUUUUUCGUGGGGGAUAACGUAGGGAAACUUACGCUAAUACCGCAUACGACCUACGGGUGGAAGCAGGGGAUCUUCGGACCUUGCGCGAUUGAAUGAGCCGAUGUCGGAUUAGCUAGUUGGCGGGGUAAAGGCCCACCAAGGCGACGAUCCGUAGCUGGUCUGAGAUGAUGAUCAGCCACACUGGAACUGAGACACGGUCCAGACUCCUACGGGAGGCAGCAGUGGGGAAUAUUGGACAAUGGGCGCAAGCCUGAUCCAGCCAUACCGCGUGGGUGAAGAAGGCCUUCGGGUUGUAAAGCCCUUUUGUUGGGAAAGAAAAGCAGCAGGUUAAUACCCCGCUGUUCUGACGGUACCCAAAGAAUAAGCACCGGCUAACUUCGUG